AGUGGCAUAGCUCAAUGGUGAGAGCAUCGUCCUUAUAAGACGGGGGUUAUGGGUUCGAAUCCCAUUGCCACUAC
This 74-nucleotide transfer RNA is filed under the name Ktedonobacter sp. SOSP1-52. RNAcentral describes it as "tRNA-Ile". It matches the Rfam family "tRNA". Rfam says of the family: Transfer RNA (tRNA) molecules are approximately 80 nucleotides in length. Their secondary structure includes four short double-helical elements and three loops (D, anti-codon, and T loops). Further hydrogen bonds mediate the characteristic L-shaped molecular structure. tRNAs have two regions of fundamental functional importance: the anti-codon, which is responsible for specific mRNA codon recognition, and the 3' end, to which the tRNAs corresponding amino acid is attached (by aminoacyl-tRNA synthetases). tRNAs cope with the degeneracy of the genetic code in two manners: having more than one tRNA (with a specific anti-codon) for a particular amino acid; and 'wobble' base-pairing, i.e. permitting non-standard base-pairing at the 3rd anti-codon position. The record is from RNAcentral. Lineage: Bacteria; Bacillati; Chloroflexota; Ktedonobacteria; Ktedonobacterales; Ktedonobacteraceae.